UUUUUUAUGCAUUCAUUCCGCGUGGUUACUGUGUUAAAACUGAAACAACUCAAAGGGUUAAGUUUAGGUAUUAAUUCUGAGUGGUUAAGGUUAGGGCUAUGGUUUGGGGAAGCCUUAAAACCAAAAUAAUUAAAACUACUCGCUGUUUCCAUCAACUGUCAUCGUGUAUUCUCACCGCUUACCAGAGCAUUGUGAACUUUGAUGGUCUAAGCAGCGCACUCCGGCCUGGGUGUGUUAUUAAGGAAAACCGAAAGUGUAAAGGGACAAAAGUGGGCACCUGAUUGAGCUUCAGGAGAAAACAGCCCGACUCAUUUGGAGGUUGAAGGACAUCCCGCCCUGACACCCUGCAGAUGAAAAUAACUUGUUGUGAACCUCCCAGCCACCAGGAUAAUCACCAUAUUCCAGGAUAUUAUUCAAAAGUGUGCAACUUCACAAUGUUAGAUAAAAAUAGAUUCACUGAUGUUAUUGUUUAUCAAAUCAAACCAAGCUUUAUUUAUCCAGCACAUUUCAGACAUGAAAUGCAACGCAAUGUGCUUUACAGGAAAAAACAAA
Long non-coding RNA from Coregonus clupeaformis (lake whitefish), 552 nucleotides. RefSeq lists it as uncharacterized. The record is from RefSeq and is a predicted model, not a curated record. Lineage: Eukaryota; Metazoa; Chordata; Actinopteri; Salmoniformes; Salmonidae. The transcript is spliced from 3 exons.